UGGGGAAUAUUGCACAAUGGGCGCAAGCCUGAUGCAGCCAUGCCGCGUGUGUGAAGAAGGCCUUCGGGUUGUAAAGCACUUUCAGCGAGGAGGAAGGUGGUGAGCUUAAUACGCUUAUCAAUUGACGUUACUCGCAGAAGAAGCACCGGCUAACUCCGUGCCAGCAGCCGCGGUAAUACGGAGGGUGCAAGCGUUAAUCGGAAUUACUGGGCGUAAAGCGCACGCAGGCGGUCUGUCAAGUCGGAUGUGAAAUCCCCGGGCUCAACCUGGGAACUGCAUUCGAAACUGGCAGGCUAGAGUCUUGUAGAGGGGGGUAGAAUUCCAGGUGUAGCGGUGAAAUGCGUAGAGAUCUGGAGGAAUACCGGUGGCGAAGGCGGCCCCCUGGACAAAGACUGACGCUCAGGUGCGAAAGCGUGGGGAGCAAACA
This 427-nucleotide ribosomal RNA is filed under the name uncultured bacterium. RNAcentral describes it as "partial 16S ribosomal RNA". It matches the Rfam family "Bacterial small subunit ribosomal RNA", at positions 355 to 774 of the family's 1533-position model. The record is from RNAcentral.